AACGAAUGGCCUACAUUCACUU
RNAcentral lists this non-coding RNA (22 nucleotides) under Arabidopsis thaliana (thale cress). The record is from RNAcentral. Lineage: Eukaryota; Viridiplantae; Streptophyta; Magnoliopsida; Brassicales; Brassicaceae.